RNAcentral lists this small RNA (53 nucleotides) under alpha proteobacterium HIMB114. Its description in RNAcentral is "ffh sRNA". It matches the Rfam family "ffh sRNA". Lineage: Bacteria; Pseudomonadati; Pseudomonadota; Alphaproteobacteria; Candidatus Pelagibacterales; Candidatus Pelagibacteraceae. The record is from Rfam by way of RNAcentral.
AAUAAGAGAGAUCAACACUAGUCAGCGAGUUUUCGCCCACUAGUGCAAUACCU